UGCUUUGCUGGAAUGGUGUGUAAAUCUGUAUGUGAUUGCAACGACACUGACCACUUUUGUUUUUAUGAGUUCACUUAGAAACUGACCGAGUUGUUCUCUUCAAGUACUCUAGUUGAUCAUACAGAGUUGGGAGGCAAAAAGGCUGAAGAUACAGAGAAGGCAAGUAAGAAUUCUCAUUGUUUGAACUGUAUCGAUUCCUCUUUUUAACUGCUUUGAAUGGCUGGAACAGUUUUUAUAGACUUAGAAGCAUAGCAGAAGCCGAAAAGGGCAGUAGGGACCAGAAGCAAAUUGGGUGUAGAAAGGAAGAGAGAGAGACCCAUACCAGAAAUUAAUUCGAUUUUUUUACAAUUUAAGGCACAACUGUGGGAAAUGCAGGUUCUGCCUUUACAUGGCAUCAGCAAUAGAAAGGUCACACUGCUUUUCUCCAAGAAAAGCUGAUCACAUUUAAUCCUAUGUCCCCUCUUCUAACCUUCUAAUUUAAUGCUCUCUGAAACACCAGAAUUCCUCUCACUAUCCUUCCUACAGCUCACAAACCAGUAAGUAGUUGCAAAACAAAUCCUCGUCUUUUGCCUUUCUAUCUAUGCAUCUCUUGGACUUGAACAAAAAAGAAAUCAUGAGCUUCUUUCUGGGACCAUAGGGACCAUGUAUGUUGUUCUUCAGGUAAAUGGCAGAGAGACAAGGACAAGAGUUGUAGCUUUCUUUCAGUUAUGAAGAGGAUUUGGCCCUGUUGGGACUAAUCUCUUGUCAGCAACAAAACGUGAUGAUGACGAUGAUGGGUCUUGAUUCUCACCCUGUGGUGGAUUCCUAGCUGGCGGAGGAUUGUGAAGCUGAUACCUUUGCAUGUGAAUGACAUAAUUGUGCAGUCCCCAUGAAGCGCGAUGCCGUAGCCUGUAGCCAUGGUGAUGGUGAUGCUGAUGCUGAUGCUGGUGGUGAUCCAUUGAUUCAUCUUGAGAGAUCCUGCUGAAUGGGGAGGACUGAGCUCUUGUGACAAUUAGGAAGAACAGAAUUGCCAAGAGAAUAUGUUUCUGGGAGAAGACAGCCGUUGAACAAGUAGGAGACAUGAUCAUGAAUGUUGGGAAGGAAAGCAACAGAAGAAGUUAGAGAGAAGGGGGGUUGUAAUGCUCCAAGACAGCAUGAACACAAAGAUACUCGGGGUGUAUUUAUAGAUGGAAGAAGCAGCACUGUUGAAGCUGUAUUACAUGCCUUGUCUCAAGGAAACAUGUCUUGAUAGUGAGAGAGAGAGAGAGAGAGAGAGAGAGAGAGAGAGAGAGAGAGAGAGAGAGAGAGAGAGAGAGAGAGAGAGAGAGAGAGAGAGAGAGAGAGAGAGAGAGAGAGAGAGAGAGUUUUUUUGAAAAGAGAAGGAAAGGGUAUUAGUUACUAGGGGAAGAAGGUUGCUGGAGGAGGGAGGCUUAAAAAUGAAAUGUAGCAUUUACAGCUGCCUACACAGUUGAGAAAAGAGAGCAAGGGCAUUCAUGGGGGGAAUGUUAUUUUCGAAUUGUUUUUGUUUAGUUUUUCUAAACGAUUAGACAAGACAGGUCUCUCUCUCUGUCUUAUUACACAAUAAUUAACAAAUGAUGAUGGAUUUCAAGUCAAUCACCCUCCUCUUCUCUCCAAUGACCAAUUUGUUUUGGUUUGGGAGGAAUGGAUGAGUAAUGUAAUUAAUGAAGCUUUGUUUUCUUGGUAAAUAUAUAUAUAUAUAUACUCUACUUUUCAUUCAAAAUCAAAC
Molecule: long non-coding RNA, 1726 nt
Filed under: Linum usitatissimum (flax)
Lineage: Eukaryota; Viridiplantae; Streptophyta; Magnoliopsida; Malpighiales; Linaceae
Description: long non-coding RNA (LUSI_LNC003918)
Source: RNAcentral